This 465-nucleotide ribosomal RNA is filed under the name Vreelandella stevensii. RNAcentral describes it as "partial 16S ribosomal RNA". It matches the Rfam family "Bacterial small subunit ribosomal RNA", at positions 338 to 795 of the family's 1533-position model. The record is from RNAcentral. Lineage: Bacteria; Pseudomonadati; Pseudomonadota; Gammaproteobacteria; Oceanospirillales; Halomonadaceae.
CCUACGGGAGGCAGCAGUGGGGAAUAUUGGACAAUGGGCGAAAGCCUGAUCCAGCCAUGCCGCGUGUGUGAAGAAGGCCUUCGGGUUGUAAAGCACUUUCAGUGGGGAAGAAAGCCUUGGGGCUAAUACCCUCGAGGAAGGACAUCACCCACAGAAGAAGCACCGGCUAACUCCGUGCCAGCAGCCGCGGUAAUACGGAGGGUGCGAGCGUUAAUCGGAAUUACUGGGCGUAAAGCGCGCGUAGGCGGUCUGAUAAGCCGGUUGUGAAAGCCCCGGGCUCAACCUGGGAACUGCAUCCGGAACUGUCAGGCUAGAGUGCAGGAGAGGAAGGUAGAAUUCCCGGUGUAGCGGUGAAAUGCGUAGAGAUCGGGAGGAAUACCAGUGGCGAAGGCGGCCUUCUGGACUGACACUGACGCUGAGGUGCGAAAGCGUGGGUAGCAAACAGGAUUAGAUACCCCGGUAGUC